CUGCUUAGUUGUGGUGUUGGAGGACCAAGGAGCCAGGAAGGGCAGGUCCAACUGAAGAUCCUCUAUGGCAGGCACAAGCACCAGUGCCAAAGGAGGAUCCAGUGAGUGGUCACCAAACACCUAGAGAUCCUCUCCCAAAGAAACUAUGUGUGUCCAACCAAGUCCAUGUCUCAACAUCAGCUUCUGAGGGAAUGCAACUUAACACGAGGGGAUCCAUUGUGAAAAUAUAAAUUCUUUCAAAGUUUAUAAAAUGUGUAUAAAUUCCUGGAUGAUGCAUGAAGGAUUAUUAAGAAAUAAUAAAGAAUCCCUUGGCUAUUAGAUCUUAUAAAUUUAAAUAGAGCUUGCUCAAAUUCCAUGAGGACUUCUUUUGGAUCGCUUGCCACAAAGAUUACAUUCUCUUUGGAGUUCAGAUACCAUACAUCAAAACACUGGAGCUUUUGCAAGUUUUCUCUCAACAUGGGAAAUAUGUCCCCUACAAACUAAAGGCAAAGUCAAAAGAGCAGUAAACAACUUUCUAACUUUCUUCUCCAGGUUUCCUUUAUUAAA
This is a non-coding RNA of Callithrix jacchus (white-tufted-ear marmoset), 546 nucleotides long. Lineage: Eukaryota; Metazoa; Chordata; Mammalia; Primates; Cebidae. The record is from RefSeq and is a predicted model, not a curated record.